CAUCACUACGCUAGAUGCAUAUCAAUAAGCGGAGGAAAAGAAACUAACAAGGAUUCCCCUAGUAACGGCGAGUGAAGCGGGAAGAGCUCAAAUUUGAAAUCUUAAAGGGUUUCCCUUUACGAAUUGUAGUUUAAAGAAGUGUUUUCUGUUGGAGUUUCGGUAAAAGUUCUUUGGAAUAGGACAUCAUAGAGGGUGAGAAUCCCGUAUUUGACCGUUACUUUCCAGCUGUGUGAUACACUUUCAAAGAGUCGGAUUGUUUGGGAAUGCAGUCCAAAAUGGGUGGUAAAUUUCAUCUAAAGCUAAAUAUUGGCGAGAGACCGAUAGCGAACAAGUACCGUGAGGGAAAGACGAAAAGAACUUUGAAAAGAGAGUUAAACAGUACGUGAAAUUGUCAAAAGGGAAGCGUUUGACACCAGUGUUGUUUAGUUGAAAAUCAAUUCAAUAAUUUUUGAUUUUGAGUAGUAUUGACUUCAUCAGCUUGCUGCUUUCUUUUCGGAAAUUAUUGAAUGCACUUUUCAGUUAACAAGUCAACAUCAAUUUCUUUUGUUGUAAAAGGGUAAGAGGAAGGUGGCUUACGCUUCGGCGUAAGUGUUUAUAGCCUUUUACCUCUGCAAUCGGAGAGAUUGAGGACAGCAGCGUAGACUCUUCGGGGUUAGAUACACUUGUGCUAAGCUAUAGCCUUGUAUAGACAAACUUGUUGACUAUGCUCAGUCAUGUAGCUUACUCGCUUGUGCUAUUUUACCUACGCUUAGGAUGUUGACGAGACUGUCGAUCUC
RNAcentral lists this ribosomal RNA (776 nucleotides) under uncultured Neocallimastigales. RNAcentral's name for it is "partial large subunit ribosomal RNA". It matches the Rfam family "Eukaryotic large subunit ribosomal RNA", at positions 20 to 646 of the family's 3401-position model. Lineage: Eukaryota; Fungi; Neocallimastigomycota; Neocallimastigomycetes; Neocallimastigales. The record is from RNAcentral.